Molecule: ribosomal RNA, 786 nt
Filed under: uncultured archaeon
Lineage: Archaea
Description: bacterial SSU rRNA
Rfam family: Archaeal small subunit ribosomal RNA
Source: RNAcentral
ACGGCUCAGUAACACGUGGAUAACCUGCCCUAAGGAAGGGGAUAACCUCGGGAAACUGAGGAUAAUACCCUAUAGGAUACCGAUGCUGGAAUGCCCGGUAUCCCAAAGCUCCGGCGCCUUAGGAUGGAUCUGCGGCCGAUUAGGUCGUUGUUGGGGUAACGGCCCAACAAGCCGAUAAUCGGUACGGGUUGUGGGAGCAAGAGCCCGGAGUUGGAUUCUGAGACACGAAUCCAGGCCCUACGGGGCGCAGCAGGCGCGAAAACUUUACAAUGCGGGCAACCGUGAUAAGGGAACCUCGAGUGCCUGUACAUGCAGGCUGUCUGGGUGUCUAAAACACACCCAAAGAAAGGGCCGGGCAAGACCGGUGCCAGCCGCCGCGGUAAUACCGGCGGCUCGAGUGGUGGCCACUUUUAUUGGGCUUAAAGCGUUCGUAGCUGGGUUGUUAAGUCUCUUGGGAAAUCUGGCAGCUUAACUGUCAGGCGUCUAAGAGAUACUGGCAAUCUAGGAACCGGGAGAGGUGAGGGGUACUUCGGGGGUAGGAGUGAAAUCCUGUAAUCCUCGAGGGACCACCUGUGGCGAAGGCGCCUCACCAGAACGGCUUCGACAGUGAGGGACGAAAGCUGGGGGAGCAAACCGGAUUAGAUACCCGGGUAGUCCCAGCCGUAAACGAUGCGCGUUAGGUGUGUCGAUGACCACGAGUCAUCGAGGUGCCGAAGGGAAACCGUGAAACGCGCCGCCUGGGAAGUACGGUCGCAAGGCUGAAACUUAAAGGAAUUGGCGGGGGAG